UUGACACAGGAGCAACAUUUACAAGCAUUGGAAAAGAAGGCUCUAAGCUCCCCCUCUCACGCAAAGCAGUAAAGACAGUAGGCUUCUCGGGUAAAACUCAAACUUUGCAUUUCACAGAGCCACAAGACAUAACAGUAGAAGGAAUCACAAUACAAGCACCAUUGUUGUAUUCCCCAAUACCCCAACAAAUCUAUUAGGCAGAGAUGUACUGUGUAAGCUAGGAGCAAAAAUCUUCUGUGGACCUACAGGAGUGUGGGUCGAACUUCCUGAAAUCCUAGCUCAACAGUGUGUGAUGGUAGAAAGAAAAA
Long non-coding RNA from Silurus meridionalis, 308 nucleotides. RefSeq lists it as uncharacterized. NCBI's taxonomy places the organism in Eukaryota, Metazoa, Chordata, Actinopteri, Siluriformes, Siluridae. The record is from RefSeq and is a predicted model, not a curated record. The transcript is spliced from 2 exons.